GAUGAACGCUGGCGGCGUGCCUAAUACAUGCAAGUCGAGCGAACAGACGAGGAGCUUGCUCCUCUGACGUUAGCGGCGGACGGGUGAGUAACACGUGGAUAACCUACCUAUAAGACUGGGAUAACUUCGGGAAACCGGAGCUAAUACCGGAUAAUAUAUUGAACCGCAUGGUUCAAUAGUGAAAGACGGUUUUGCUGUCACUUAUAGAUGGAUCCGCGCCGCAUUAGCUAGUUGGUAAGGUAACGGCUUACCAAGGCGACGAUGCGUAGCCGACCUGAGAGGGGGAGCGGCCACACUGAGAGUAAGAAACGGGAGAGACACAGACGGGAGGCAACAGCAGGGAAUCUGCCACAAAGGGCGAAAGACGGAAGGAGAAACGGAGCGGGAGUGAAGAAGGUUGUCGGAACGUAAAACUCUUUUAUAAGGGAAAAAAAAAUGUGAAAGUAACUAUGCCCGUCUUGACGGUCCCGAAUCAGAAGGCAACGGCUAACUACGG
Molecule: ribosomal RNA, 496 nt
Filed under: uncultured bacterium
Lineage: Bacteria
Description: partial 16S ribosomal RNA
Rfam family: Bacterial small subunit ribosomal RNA
Source: RNAcentral